Molecule: ribosomal RNA, 23 nt
Filed under: Thanatephorus cucumeris
Lineage: Eukaryota; Fungi; Basidiomycota; Agaricomycetes; Cantharellales; Ceratobasidiaceae
Description: partial 28S ribosomal RNA
Source: RNAcentral
AAGCAUAUCAAUAAGCGGAGGAA